GGAAAAGUCGUAACAAGGUUUCCGUAGGUGAACCUGCGGAAGGAUCAUUAUUGUAUAACCGAGGUGCGAGGGCUGUCGCUGACCCGAAAGGUCGUGCACGCCCGAGUGCCCUCACACACAUCCAUCUCACCCCUAUGUGCACCACCGCGUGGGUCCCCCUUUGGCUUGUUCGGAGGGGGGCUUACGUUUUCACACAAACUUUGUAUGCAGUGUAGAAUGUAUUUUUGUUUUUGCGAUCACGCAAUCAAUACAACUUUCAACAACGGAUCUCUUGGCUCUC
RNAcentral lists this unclassified non-coding RNA (280 nucleotides) under plant metagenome. RNAcentral describes it as "partial contains small subunit ribosomal RNA, internal transcribed spacer 1, and 5.8S ribosomal RNA". The stretch from base 1 to 50 matches the Rfam family "Eukaryotic small subunit ribosomal RNA", at positions 1782 to 1831 of the family's 1831-position model. The record is from RNAcentral.